CCUCCCACCGUUCAUUCUGCAUCACCAUAUUGAUUUGUUUGUGAGGAGACUGUGGCCACCUAUUAAAUAUUCACCCGUUGUUUUUUUUUCAUUCUCACCAACACUUUGUCCUAAAAGCAAUUUGUCUCCUAAACUCUUUACGUAAGAGUGCUCCUUUCUGCUCACAAGUUGGAGGAACACGAAAGACAAAUCCUUUCCUUUUGACCGUUCAUUUUUAAAUCUCUGGUUCUUUAGAAUCUCUACAUCCUCUAUAUCUCUUUUGGCUGUUAGAGAUCAUUUAGUGAAGUGCGUCGCUUGAAAUAAUGAUGUGUGGUCUAUAGGGCCUCUCUCGUCUCCACCACUUCUGAUAACUGUCUCUGUGUGAUUCUCUACCCUGAGUUGAGGCAGUUCAGCGGUUCAUAGGAGUACUAUUACUCCUACCCUUGUAAAUGAUCCAUAUAGGAUCAUUCUAUUCUAUUCUAUUUUUUUUUAUACAGUGAAGAUAUCGCACAGCCAGUCAGUCGACAUCAUCCCCACUUUUUCGGAACAAUCUCAAACUUCUCCCGUUCUGUCGUAUCGAUUCGCGAAGGUGGCAAAACUUCUCUCGCUCUCUUUGCCAGUUUUGUCUUUGUUUUGUUUCAGCAUUGUUCAUUGUUAAAAAAAAAAACGGGUGAGAAGUAGCUGAGGCAGAUGAAAGACUUUUCCCUCCUUUCCCACUUAAUGCCCUAACUUCGGUCCCAGUAGAGCGGAGACACUGAACUCUUUUCCGCCGUCAGAGUGAUUGGGUGUGGCUGCUGUGUGGAGGCCAACUUCCAUCCCCUUCCCUAAUUCCAUGCAGGAGUCUAGCUGGAGGAACAGCAGCAGCUGCGUGAGAGAGAAAAGAGGUCCAGAAGAGGGUGCCACUGAUCAAAAUGAUGGACUUUUCCUGGUCGGCGGAGUUUUAGACCUGAUCUGAUGAAGCUGGUAGCUUCAGGGACCGAUAAAGCGCUGGCACAUAAAAGCUUUUCUGCUUCUCUUCAUUCUGGUUGUUCUCAUUGAGAUAACAUCUCCUUUACUAAGCACUAGUCAACCUCAGGGCCAGAAGAGGCCAGACUGAAGAGGAGCCAUUGGACUUUGACUGGAAUAAUAGUAGUUUGUUUGAAAUGUAAGUGUCCUCCGUUAUGCUUGUUUAUUUUGCCGACAGUGUGAUUUGUGCGUAAUUUCCACCUGCGAUUGUAGAAUCGUCAUUAAAGCAUGUUUUGAUAAAGUGCAA
RNAcentral lists this long non-coding RNA (1231 nucleotides) under Salmo salar (Atlantic salmon). RNAcentral describes it as "lncRNA (ENSSSAG00000118233.1)". Lineage: Eukaryota; Metazoa; Chordata; Actinopteri; Salmoniformes; Salmonidae. The record is from RNAcentral.